Molecule: long non-coding RNA, 1013 nt
Organism: Suricata suricatta (meerkat)
Lineage: Eukaryota; Metazoa; Chordata; Mammalia; Carnivora; Herpestidae
Exons: 2
Source: RefSeq, a predicted model, not a curated record
ACUAGAUUUAAAGAGAGUGUUGGUGGCAAGGUGACAUCAAGUAGUUAGUUAUAUAGAUGGCUAAAUGUUGAACAUGGAUUUAAUCUUCACCACAACCGAAACAGAAUACCCAUCUGGAACCCAGCCACCAUGCUGUAGAAGCCAGGAAGAGAAGGAACAAAUUGUUUCCUACACUCAUCAACAGCCCCAGCUAAGCCUCAGCCAGCAGCCAGCGACUAACUGCCAGCCUUGUGAGUGAGUCACCUUGGCUGUUCCAGCACAUUUAACACACACAGAACAGAUGAACUGCCCAGCUGAGCCCAGGCGACCUCAGACCUGUGAUGGAUAACAAAUGGUGGCGGUCAUGGCUAUUUUAAAGCACUGAGUUUUGGGAUAGUUUAUUUCACAAGCAAUUGUGCAACAAAUAGAUAACUGUGUGUUUACCCAGGAAGAUGCCCUCUUGGACAGGUAAGGUGUGAACUUGGCCAUCUGAUGUGAUGGCCCAAAGACAGCUCUCCACUGGCGGAUUCUUCAUCUGCAUCUCAGGGAGGAUUUCACUGAGGAGGGUGAGAUAUGGAAGGGACAUCUGUGGCUACCAUUGGACUACAGUAAAUCCACUCAUUUCCACAGAGUUCCUAGAACACUUUUAUUCGUGAACACACAAUUACCUAGGUCUCCCUGUUCCUAAUGAGGCACUGGACUAAAGACAGGGGACAGAUCUGCCUAGCCCAGAAUCCAGGAGAAAACAAUCAUGCUGUUAGUGCCCAAUGAGCUCAAAGAGGCUGGAAAAACAGCAGGAUCUGUUUUUUUUUAAAAACGUUUUUGUUGUUGAAUUGAGAUGUCAUGAAAGCUUCCCUCUCUUUGGCAAGUUACUACACUUUUUAUUCAUUAGGUUAUUGUGAAAGUUAAAUGUGAAAAUGUAUGCAAAAUUAUUAACACAAUACCUCUACAAUCUAGAUACUGGAUAAAAAAACAGCCUUUCCAAGUGUAUAGCAUUUUCUGUUUCUACAUUAAAAUGCUUUGUGACUCCGUAA